This 402-nucleotide transfer-messenger RNA is filed under the name Bacteroidales bacterium OttesenSCG-928-I21. It matches the Rfam family "transfer-messenger RNA". From Rfam's summary of the family: Bacterial tmRNA, also known as 10Sa RNA or SsrA, is named for its dual tRNA and mRNA-like properties. Its role is to liberate the mRNA from a stalled ribosome. Lineage: Bacteria; Pseudomonadati; Bacteroidota; Bacteroidia; Bacteroidales. The record is from RNAcentral.
GGGGCUGACCUGGUUUUGACAGCAAGGUAAAUGAUUGUGUAAGCAUGUCGGGCAAUGUGAAUAAUCCCGUAAAACUUUUUCGCAGACAAUUAACUGGCGCAGAUAAUUAUGCUUUCGCUGCUUAGUCGAAUUACAGUAGAUAGAGCUUAAUUCCGGCACAAGGUGUUGGAACGAAACAUCCCUCGAUUGGCCUGUCCGGUUCCGUUUCGGCAAAGGGGUGGCAAUAAAUACCGGAAUAGCUUUAACGAAUGCUUUGGCGUAAAAGCGAAAUUUUAAAAGAUAAGGUUAGAUUUUGGGUGUCUGUCCCCGGAAACUUUCCCUACAAUCAAUGGCAGAAUAAACAUGUAGAAAGCACCUUUGUUUCUUGUUUGGACCCGGGUUCGAUUCCCGGCAGCUCCACAA